AAAAUAAUACAAUAAGUGUUUCUCAGUUUGACAGAGGGGUUGAUAUUGAAUGGAUGGACAAAUAUAUAUUUCUCAAAGACUAAAAUUCAAAAAUAGUAAUAGCCUAUUCCAUUUACA
This is a long non-coding RNA of Coregonus clupeaformis (lake whitefish), 117 nucleotides long. RefSeq lists it as uncharacterized. The record is from RefSeq and is a predicted model, not a curated record. The transcript is spliced from 3 exons. Lineage: Eukaryota; Metazoa; Chordata; Actinopteri; Salmoniformes; Salmonidae.